CUGGAGGUAUCAGAAGUGCGAAUGCUGACAUAAGUAACGAUAAAGCGGGUGAAAAGCCCGCUCGCCGGAAGACCAAGGGUUCCUGUCCAACGUUAAUCGGGGCAGGGUGAGUCGACCCCUAAGGCGAGGCCGAAAGGCGUAGUCGAUGGGAAACGGGUUAAUAUUCCCGUACUUGGUGUUACUGCGAAGGGGGGACGGAGAAGGCUAUGUUGGCCGGGCGACGGUUGUCCCGGUUUAAGCGUGUAGGUGUGUGUUCCAGGUAAAUCCGGUUCACUUUAACACUGAGGCGUGACGACGAGGCACUACGGUGCUGAAGCAACAAAUGCCCUGCUUCCAGGAAAAGCCUCUAAGCAUCAGGUAACAUCAAAUCGUACCCCAAACCGACACAGGUGGUCAGGUAGAGAAUACCA
RNAcentral lists this ribosomal RNA (410 nucleotides) under Salmonella enterica. RNAcentral's name for it is "partial 23S ribosomal RNA". It matches the Rfam family "Bacterial large subunit ribosomal RNA", at positions 1273 to 1683 of the family's 2925-position model. The record is from RNAcentral. Lineage: Bacteria; Pseudomonadati; Pseudomonadota; Gammaproteobacteria; Enterobacterales; Enterobacteriaceae.